CAACACACUAACACAUCACGACAGAAUCAAGAAAACUAACCAAGAAGAACUCAAAAGGAUAUCUAAUCAACACACCAACACAUCACAAUAGAAUCAAGAAAACUAACCAGUUCACGGAAGGCCACCCUUUUUGGUGAUCCAAAACUACAUAAAGCCUCAGCAAAUAGCUAACUCGUUUUGGAUAUGAUGAGAGGCCAUCCUGUCAAAAGGGGACGCAGAAGGGCGUGAUAGAGAGGUUAGAGGAGCUUAAUUACCAGUACUAGUAGGCACA
RNAcentral lists this long non-coding RNA (271 nucleotides) under Phoenix dactylifera (date palm). Its description in RNAcentral is "long non-coding RNA (PDAC_LNC011262)". The record is from RNAcentral. Lineage: Eukaryota; Viridiplantae; Streptophyta; Magnoliopsida; Arecales; Arecaceae.